UCUACUUGACUAGCUGAGAGGAGGUGCAGUGGCCGUCGUCAGUUCGUACUGUGAAGCAUCCUGUUAAGUCAGGCAACGAGCGAGACCCACGCCAACAGUUGCCAGCUCGUCCUCCGGGAUGGUGGGGACACUGUUGGGACCGCCUCUGCUAAAGAGGAGGAAGGAAUGGGCAACGGUAGGUCAGCAUGCCCCGAAUUAUCUGGGCUACACGCGGGCUACAAUGGGUGGGACAAUGGGUAUCGACACCGAAAGGUGAAGGCAAUCUCCUAAACCCAUCCGUAGUUCGGAUUGUGGGCUGCAACUCGCCCACAUGAAGCUGGAAUCUGUAGUAAUCGUGUCUCAAAAUGGCACGGUGAAUAUGUCCCUGCUCCUU
This 373-nucleotide ribosomal RNA is filed under the name uncultured Methanomicrobiales archaeon. RNAcentral describes it as "bacterial SSU rRNA". It matches the Rfam family "Archaeal small subunit ribosomal RNA", at positions 967 to 1338 of the family's 1478-position model. Lineage: Archaea; Methanobacteriati; Methanobacteriota; Methanomicrobia; Methanomicrobiales. The record is from RNAcentral.